Molecule: long non-coding RNA, 628 nt
Organism: Hevea brasiliensis (rubber tree)
Lineage: Eukaryota; Viridiplantae; Streptophyta; Magnoliopsida; Malpighiales; Euphorbiaceae
Exons: 2
Source: RefSeq, a predicted model, not a curated record
UGCAACAUCAACCUGUGGCAAUUUCAGUCCUCGCCGAAAUCCUCCCUACGCUUUAAACCCCCUGUCCAUGCGAGUGAAGUGAAGGGGCUCUUUUCGGCCAUUUUUCCAAUGGGGUUUCCGUUUCUAAUUGCAAAGCUCGUCAUUUUCGGCCUCUGAUGUCCUGUUUCUUAUCAGGGGAGAAAAUUUUUAGAGCACAUUAAUUACUGAUCCAUGGAUCAGAGAUACAGCUACUUAUUUUGAUUUUGUAACUCUGCAAAUCUUAGACGCUUUAUUUUUGUCAUUGAGCCAAGGAUAUUAUGUACAGAAGUCUCCUAGCUGCAUGCUGGAUUGAAAUUUUUUGAUAUCUCUGCCUGUGAAUUAAUAUGUUCAUUUUUUGGGUGUGGAAAAAAAGGAAAUGAGUUGCUGUUGUGCAUCAUGGUGCUGCAUUUUCUGUAAAUAGGGAAGAAGAAGCUUAGUUGUGAAGAAUCACGCAUUUGCAACCUUGCUAACAAUACUGGUUUGCUGCUUGGAAAAAUUUUUUUGAGAGAAAAAAUUUGGCAAUUCAAAUAAGCAUCAUAAUAUUGGUACAUUUUAACUUUCUCUUAAAAGAAGAAAAUAAAAAUAUAGACAAUUGAAAAUUUAUAUUCAU